Long non-coding RNA from Rana temporaria (common frog), 391 nucleotides. RefSeq lists it as uncharacterized. The record is from RefSeq and is a predicted model, not a curated record. NCBI's taxonomy places the organism in Eukaryota, Metazoa, Chordata, Amphibia, Anura, Ranidae. The transcript has 3 exons.
UGUCGCGGUGGGUUUCCCUGUAGUUUUAGUGACCUGGUGAACAAUUUAAAUUUCACAAAUGCAGGCGUUCGGCCAGUAAAAGACAGUCAUACUGUAACCAAUGUAGUUAUUCAUAUAACCAUGUACAGUGUUGUUUCACUGGACACGAGUUUGCAGUAUUUAUCUACAUUGAUCUGGUUCAGCAUGGAAUGGAACAAUGAAUUUGUAGGAUGGGAUCCAGUCAUGAAUUGUUCAAUAAACAGUACAUUGAUAACAGGAGCCGACCUCUGGAAACCAGACUUGUAUGUAUAUGAAAUGUAAGUCCUAAAUUCAUAAAUAUGAAGUCUGAAGUUUCAGUUAUAAUUUUUAGGAUAAGAAAAAACCAGACUGAACACAAAUGAACAUAGAUUAU